Molecule: ribosomal RNA, 216 nt
Filed under: Glomeromycotina sp.
Lineage: Eukaryota; Fungi; Glomeromycota
Description: partial small subunit ribosomal RNA
Rfam family: Eukaryotic small subunit ribosomal RNA (bases 40-216)
Source: RNAcentral
GGGUCAGUAGGUUGGUCGUGCCACCGGUACGUACUGGUCUCACUGAUUCCUCCUUCCUGAAGAACCGUAAUGCCAUUAAUUUGGUGUUGCGGGGAAACAGGACUGUUACUUUGAAAAAAUUAGAGUGUUUAUAGCAAGCUAACGCUUGAAUACAUUAGCAUGGAAUAAUGAAAUAGGACGAUCGAUCCUAUUUUGUUGGUUUCUAGGAUUGACGUA